RNAcentral lists this ribosomal RNA (274 nucleotides) under uncultured bacterium. RNAcentral describes it as "partial 16S ribosomal RNA". It matches the Rfam family "Bacterial small subunit ribosomal RNA", at positions 523 to 796 of the family's 1533-position model. The record is from RNAcentral.
AUACGGAGGGUGCAAGCGUUAUUCGGAAUUACUGGGCGUAAAGCGCGCGUAGGCGGAUAUUUAAGUCUCAUGUGAAAGCCCUGGGCUCAACCUGGGAACUGCAUGGGAUACUGGGUAUCUAGAAUACAGUAGAGGGUAGUGGAAUUUCAGGUGUAGCGGUGAAAUGCGUAGAGAUCUGAAGGAACAUCAGUGGCGAAGGCGACUACCUGGACUGAUAUUGACGCUGAGGUGCGAAAGCGUGGGGAGCAAACGGGAUUAGAAACCCUAGUAGUCC